Gasterosteus aculeatus aculeatus (three-spined stickleback) is the source of this 710-nucleotide long non-coding RNA. The record is from Ensembl. NCBI's taxonomy places the organism in Eukaryota, Metazoa, Chordata, Actinopteri, Perciformes, Gasterosteidae.
UUUAAAACAAAACAGCUUUUUUUUCUCUUGUCAGGACACAGUCUGAUGGGCAGUUGUGUUGAAUCGCAAAAGAUCAGGACCCUGAAAAUAGGUCCAUUAGGCUUCGUGUUCGGAGAUGACCUAUAUCAUCAAGGAUGGGAGAUCAAAGAAAGCUUUCCUGGGAUUCCAUGAAGCUUGAAUCUUACAAACCACGAGAAUUAGCUCUGAUUGCGCUGCCUCCCUGCGAUGCAAAACGCGGCCAUGAAGCCACUCAUACCGGGGGAAAUGGAACGAGGUCAGCAGUGCCAACCGGCUACCUGUCGGGAGCGAGUGUUUACCUGCUCGUGCACCCUCACCUGAUUCUUUUCCCCCUCUGCAAGCCAACCAACUGGGUGUCUGGUUCCCAUUUCCAUUGCUCCGCGGGGUGUCAGAGACGCAUUGGCUGCCGAACAUAGAAACGGAUGGACCAGAAAUGCCCAUGUGUCUCCCUGAUCUGUACCGCUCGAGCCUGAGCAGACAACGGUGGUUGCAGUGGGAAACUCUGGUGUGAUUUAUGAGGAGGUCCUCCUUUCCGCUGUUUGAGUUGCCAUUGUGCACGAUAAUGAACAUGAGGCAUCGUCGGUUCAAAAAUGAAGUGUAAAAUGUUAAAUCUCUGUCAGAAGCACAGACAUGUCUGCUGUGCGUCAGUGCUAUUGCACAAGCUUAGAGCUAUACUGAGAGCUGCUCCAGGC